AUUGACCGCUAGCGGGAUGCCUUACACAUGCAAGUCGAACGAGUGGCGAACGGGUGAGUAAUGGAUCGGAACGUGCACAGUAGCGGGGAUAACUACGCGAAACGUAGCUAAUACCGCAUACUAUUGGAGCGGCAGAUAGCGGAUUAGCUAGAUUGUGGGGUAACGGCUAACCAAGGCGACGAUCAGUAGCUGGUUUGAGAGGCGGACCAGCCACACUGGGACUGCGACACGGCCCAGACUCCUACGGGAGGCAUCAGUGGGGAAUGUUGGACAAUUGGGGCAACCCGGAGCCAGCCAUCCCGCGUGUGCGAUGAAGGCCUUCGGGUUGUAAAGCACUUUUGGCAGGAAAGCGGUACCUGCAGAAUAAGCACCGGCUAACUACGUGCCAGCAGCCGCGGUAAUAC
This 404-nucleotide ribosomal RNA is filed under the name uncultured bacterium. RNAcentral's name for it is "partial 16S ribosomal RNA". It matches the Rfam family "Bacterial small subunit ribosomal RNA", at positions 30 to 526 of the family's 1533-position model. The record is from RNAcentral.